Molecule: microRNA precursor, 155 nt
Filed under: Vitis vinifera (wine grape)
Lineage: Eukaryota; Viridiplantae; Streptophyta; Magnoliopsida; Vitales; Vitaceae
Description: MIR845_2 microRNA precursor family
Rfam family: MIR845_2 microRNA precursor family
Source: Rfam by way of RNAcentral
AUAGGAAGCAUUCAUUAUCCCUAGGGUCAUGGGAUGAAUAAAAUAUCAUGUAAAACCAAAUUAACACAUCCUACAAAACCAAGUUAACGCAUCCUAGAAUGGUUCUAGAAUGCUUACUAACACAUGGCUUUGAUACCAAUUGAUGGGAAAAUCCC